UUGACCCUAAAUACGGAAGCGAACACACGUUUUUGGCGGGCUCUUCGAAAAUUUAAGAUCACUAUGGGAAAAAGGAAAGAACCAACCCACAAGCCUGUCCCUUGUGGGGUUUGGGUCUCCAAGAAGAGGGAGAAACAGCUGUUACUGCCCCAACCAAAGCGUGCCAGGCUGUCAUCUGUGACUGUUAUACCAGCACGGCAGACAGGUGGUGCUAGAGAGCUGCCCAAACGCCAGGCCACGAUAAUGGAGAUUUUUGGCUCAAGAGGAAGAAAAGAUGCUGACACCGCAGCUGCUACAUCCGGUACAAGUCUAAUU
Molecule: long non-coding RNA, 315 nt
Organism: Branchiostoma floridae (Florida lancelet)
Lineage: Eukaryota; Metazoa; Chordata; Leptocardii; Amphioxiformes; Branchiostomatidae
Exons: 3
Source: RefSeq, a predicted model, not a curated record